This is a long non-coding RNA of Homo sapiens (human), 1912 nucleotides long. The record is from Ensembl. NCBI's taxonomy places the organism in Eukaryota, Metazoa, Chordata, Mammalia, Primates, Hominidae.
CCACAGCUUCCAGUGCAAGUGUCCUUGUGCCCUGGUGCCUGAUAUCCAGCUCCGGCAGCCUAGAAAAUCAGUUAGGCUUUUCAGUCACAGCACCCUCUGUGACAAACGUGUGGAGCACCGCACGACUUCUUCAACCAGCUGGUUUUUCUGGCAUUCGAAUAAAAGUAAAAAUAGAAAACAAAGAGGGAGAAGAAAAGUGACAAGCUGAAACCUGCGAAGAGAAAGAGGACAAGAACCUGUAUGUACCCAGUGGUGUGGAUAAAUCGUUAUGUAUCUGCCUACGCAUUGUCAGAAAUACAGCAGCCUAAGUAGCCAUUCAAGGAAUUUAGAGUAAAGUACCAUGGUCAGAAUUCAAGAUAUAGCCACUACAGGAUCUGAAAUGCCAUCUGUUCCAACCGCACGACAUCCCCAUUCAGCAGGCUCACAAGGCUGGCAUAGACAGGAAGAGGGACCCCUCUGUUGUCCUCUACUCUCUUCUUCAACUGAGCAAUGAGCAGAAGAUUUAAGUUUGGGAUUUUUUCACUAUUUUUCCCAAACGCAUGAACAGGUUCUUCUCAAACUGCAAGAGUCGAUUCAAAAUCCAGACAGCUUUCACCACCCAAGGAUUCAGGGAAGUGUUUAUUUCUUUGUCUCAGAAUCUCUUUAAACAUGGUAAGGACAAAGUCAUAAGAAGUGUGCAUGGUAUAGAAUCAAAGUACCUUUGGCAGUGAUAUAGGUCUGUUCUGAAAUACAGACUCCUGUGCCCAUGGCCACUCUGGGAACUCACGUCGUGUGUUCAGGCUAAGGACAUAUUAAUAUACACUGCUUUUCUAACAGCCAACAAUGCAGCUGGGAGAAAAACAAAUCACUCAUUACUGCAAAAAAUGUUAUUGCCAAAUGAAGCAUUUCAAGGUUUUACUCUUAAAAUGUCCUUUUAAAGCAGAAUCUUAGAAAGGACUGCUCAGUUCUACUCCUAGGGAGGGAGACUGAGGCAUGGGGAGGUUAAGUGAGUUGCCCAAGGUCACCCAGGAAGUCAGUGAAUUAACCAGAAAUAGCACCCGGGACUCCUGCCUCCUUCACCACAGCUACCACCACUGGACCACGUUUCCUGAUGGCAACAAAGCAUCAGACCACAGCGGUUUGCCAGUAACAUCAAAUAGCAUUUUGCCAGUGUAAUUUACCUCUUUCGGAAUUAAAUAAUAAUACCAUUUUACCUUAAUCUAUCACCUUUUGUCCCAGAGGAGCCUAAAGUGCUAAGUGCUUUAGUUAUGAGUUUUAGAAGCUUACAUAUAAAUCACUUCACACACCAUUAAAAUGCAGCUGUCCUUGGAGUCAAUGUUGCAGCUGUUAAACAUAAGUAUCCCAACUGUUAAACAUUUAUUGAGCACCAACAAUGUGCUAAAUGUUAGAGAGGAGGCAGAAUUUGAAUUUCAGGAGUUUUGGGGGACUAAGAAAUACAGGAAAACUACCUAAAAUGUUGAUGAUGUAUAAAUAGACAUCCGACUAUUACUAAAACACACUUCUGUUGCUAGUGAAUAUAAUCAUGGGGUCUGAAAAAUCGCCUUUGGUUAUAGCAAGGACCCUUAGAUAAAUGCUUUAAAAAUGUGAAACAUAUAGUUCAGACCACAGGCAAAGCUGUUCCAGAUUCAUUCCAAGGCAUGUCACUAAUCUUUCCUGAUUCCUUAUUUUCAUUUCUCCUUCCUUGUGUGUUCAGGCACCUACAAUGACAAAUUGUAAAUAGCCACGUCCAAUAAGUUUAUGCGUAACCUUACCUGACUUUUCCAUGGAACUCCAUUAUAUAACUAGAAGCAUUUCUCCACAAGCGGAAAAAAAAUGGAACCAGAAGAGAAACAAAGCACAUUUGAGCAUACAAUAAAUAAUGAUAUGAUGAAAAGUCAAAGGGAAAUAAAGGACAUUUGAAAGGAAUAAAAAA